RNAcentral lists this non-coding RNA (27 nucleotides) under Homo sapiens (human). The record is from RNAcentral. Lineage: Eukaryota; Metazoa; Chordata; Mammalia; Primates; Hominidae.
UAUGGCCCAAGUGACAGAACUGUUUGC